This 217-nucleotide ribosomal RNA is filed under the name Salmonella enterica subsp. enterica serovar Kentucky. RNAcentral's name for it is "partial 23S ribosomal RNA". It matches the Rfam family "Bacterial large subunit ribosomal RNA", at positions 1182 to 1397 of the family's 2925-position model. The record is from RNAcentral. Lineage: Bacteria; Pseudomonadati; Pseudomonadota; Gammaproteobacteria; Enterobacterales; Enterobacteriaceae.
UCAAAGCGUAUACAAAGUCGAGUCGGUUUAAGGAUACGUUCGUUGGGUAGGGGAGCGUUCUGUAAGCCUGUGAAGGUGGCCUGUGAGGGUUGCUGGAGGUAUCAGAAGUGCGAAUGCUGACAUAAGUAACGAUAAAGCGGGUGAAAAGCCCGCUCGCCGGAAGACCAAGGGUUCCUGUCCAACGUUAAUCGGGGCAGGGUGAGUCGACCCCUAAGGC